GGUUCGAUUCUGGCUCAGAUUGAACGCUGGCGGGAUGCUUUACACAUGCAAGUCGAACGGCAGCACGGACUUCGGUCUGGUGGCGAGUGGCGAACGGGUGAGUAAUGUAUCGGAACGUGCCUAGUAGCGGGGGAUAACUACGCGAAAGCGUAGCUAAUACCGCACACGCCCUUCGGGGAAAGCGGGGACCUUUCGGGCCUCGCACUAUUAGAGCGGCCGAUAUCGGAUUAGCUAGUUGGGUGGGCAACGGCUCACUAAGGCGACGAUCCGUAGCUGGUUUGAGAGGACGACCAGCCACACUGGGACUGAGACACGGCCCAGACUCCUACGGGAGGCAGCAGUGGGGAAUUUUGGACAAUGGGGGAAACCCUGAUCCAGCCAUCCCGCGUGUGCGAUGAAUGCCUUCGGGUUGUAAAGCACUUUUGGCAGGAAAGAAACGGCACGGGAUAAUACCCCGUGCAACUGACGGUACCUCCGCAGAAUAAGCACCGGCUAACUACGUGCCAGCAGCCGCGGUAAUACGUAGGGUGCAAGCGUUAAUCGGAAUUACUGGGCGCAAGCGUGCGCAGGCGGUUCGGAAAGAAAGAUGAAAUCCCAGAGCUUAACUUUGGAACUGCAUUUUUAACUACCGAGCUAGAGUGUGUCAGAGGGAGGUGGAAUUCCGCGUGUAGCAGUGAAAUGCGUAGAUAUGCGGAGGAACACCGAUGGCGAAGGCAGCCUCCUGGGAUAACACUGAGGCUCAUGCACGAAAGCGUGGGGAGCAAACAGGAUUAGAUACCCUGUAGUCCACGCCCUAAACGAUGUCAACUAGCUGUUGGGGCCUUCGGGCCUUGGUAGCGCAGCUAACGCGUGAAGUUGACCGCCUGGGGAGUACGGUCGCAAGAUUAAAACUCAAAGGAAUUGACGGGGACCCGCACAAGCGGUGGAUGAUGUGGAUUAAUUCGAUGCAACGCGAAAAACCUUACCUACCCUUGACAUGUCUGGAAUCCCGAAGAAAUUUGGGAGUGCUCGCAAGAGAACCGGAACACAGGUGCUGCAUGGCUGUCGUCAGCUCGUGUCGUGAGAUGUUGGGUUAAGUCCUUACAACGAGCGCAACCCUUGUCAUUAGUUGCUACGAAAGGGCACUCUAAUGAGACUGCCGGUGACAAACCGAGGAAGGUGGAUGACGUCAGUCCUCAUGGCCCUUAUGGGUAGGGCUUCACACGUCAUACACGUCGGGACAGAGGGUCGCCAACCCGCGAGGGGGAGCCAAUCCCAGAAACCUGAUCGCAGUCCGGAUCGCAGUCUGCAACUCGACUGCGUAGUCGGAAUCGCUAGUAAUCGCGGAUCAGCAUGUCGCGGUGAAUACGUUCCCGGGUCUUGUACACACCGCCCGUCACACCAUGGGGAGCGGGUUUUACCAGAAGUAGUUAGCUCAACCGUAAGGGGAGGGCGAUUACCACGGUAGGAUUCAUGACUGGGGUGAAGUCGUAACAAGGUAG
Molecule: ribosomal RNA, 1481 nt
Filed under: uncultured Bordetella sp.
Lineage: Bacteria; Pseudomonadati; Pseudomonadota; Betaproteobacteria; Burkholderiales; Alcaligenaceae
Description: partial 16S-23S ribosomal RNA intergenic spacer
Rfam family: Bacterial small subunit ribosomal RNA
Source: RNAcentral